CAGACCUCCCACAGGCCUUCAUCCAGUAACUGAUGAAACCAGAUGAACAGAUCCACAACCAAGCAUCAGACCGAACUCCAGGAAUGAAGCAGCAUUUACAGUGGUCAAGAAUGGAGGCAUGUACCUGUCCCUGAUGAAAAGAUCAAGGAAAUGUUGUACAUAUACUAAAUGGAAUACUACUAAGCCAUAAA
Long non-coding RNA from Microtus oregoni (creeping vole), 191 nucleotides. RefSeq lists it as uncharacterized. The record is from RefSeq and is a predicted model, not a curated record. Lineage: Eukaryota; Metazoa; Chordata; Mammalia; Rodentia; Cricetidae. The transcript is spliced from 3 exons.